UUUGAUACGUAGAAGAGAAGAGUAAGCUAGUGAGUAAGUUUUUAGAGACUGCAGGGUGGUGAGAGUGCAGAGCAGAAAGCUGGCCGAAGAUGAGCUCUGAGUUAAUGAGUAGUGCAAGCUACUUAUUCGGAUUGAGACCCGUUAAGGUUUCGAACUUUUGGUAAACAGAAGUUUUUAAGUUGGCGUGUGUGAGUGCGCCAUAAAUUAAGGUGGUAACGCGAUAAAUCGUCCUUCAG
This 236-nucleotide non-coding RNA is filed under the name Secundilactobacillus oryzae. Its description in RNAcentral is "Lactobacillus oryzae T-box sequence". It matches the Rfam family "T-box leader". Rfam says of the family: Uncharged tRNA acts as the effector for transcription antitermination of genes in the T-box leader family. T-boxes are found upstream of many aminoacyl-tRNA synthetase genes and some amino acid biosynthetic genes usually in Gram-positive bacteria. The anticodon of a specific tRNA base pairs to a specifier sequence within the T-box motif, and the NCCA acceptor tail of the tRNA base pairs to a conserved bulge in the T-box antiterminator hairpin. Lineage: Bacteria; Bacillati; Bacillota; Bacilli; Lactobacillales; Lactobacillaceae. The record is from RNAcentral.